This 208-nucleotide ribosomal RNA is filed under the name Bacillus anthracis (anthrax bacterium). RNAcentral describes it as "partial 23S ribosomal RNA". It matches the Rfam family "Bacterial large subunit ribosomal RNA", at positions 2722 to 2925 of the family's 2925-position model. Lineage: Bacteria; Bacillati; Bacillota; Bacilli; Caryophanales; Bacillaceae. The record is from RNAcentral.
UGUUCUGCCAAGGGCAUAGCUGGGUAGCUAUGUGCGGAAGGGAUAAGUGCUGAAAGCAUCUAAGCAUGAAGCCCCCCUCAAGAUGAGAUUUCCCAUAGCGUAAGCUAGUAAGAUCCCUGAAAGAUGAUCAGGUUGAUAGGUUCGAGGUGGAAGCAUGGUGACAUGUGGAGCUGACGAAUACUAAUAGAUCGAGGACUUAACCAUAUAA